GUUUGAUCAUCUCAGCAAGUUUCAGUUAGACUCAAGAGAACAAUUUUGUAUAUCAUGAUUACUACGAGAAGCUGUGUGGAAACUAUUUUAAUCCUGUUCGCAACUUGCAUGGAAUGCAGAGGACAAGACUCUGUUAAACAGCCUCAGAGUUUCCAAUCAGCAUAUGAAGAGCAGGAUUCAGUAACUUUUGAUUGUAAAUACAAUAAUUACAAGCUCAAACCCUAUUCUAUUCUGGUACAGACAAAACAGUUAUGACUCUCCAAAAUAUAUUGUACGGAGACAUAAAUUUGGAGAUGGAGAUGAAGCCACUGAGUUCAAGGGUCGAUUUCACUCCAACCUUAAUUCUACUUCAAG
Puntigrus tetrazona (Sumatra barb) is the source of this 354-nucleotide long non-coding RNA. RefSeq lists it as uncharacterized. The record is from RefSeq and is a predicted model, not a curated record. The transcript has 2 exons. Lineage: Eukaryota; Metazoa; Chordata; Actinopteri; Cypriniformes; Cyprinidae.